CCUACGGGAGGCAGCAGUGGGGAAUAUUGGACAAUGGGGGCAACCCUGAUCCAGCCAUGCCGCGUGUGUGAAGAAGGCCCUCGGGUUGUAAAGCACUUUCAGUGAGGAAGAACGCCUGGUGGUUAAUACCAUCAGGAAAGACAUCACUCUCAGAAGAAGCACCGGCUAACUCCGUGCCAGCAGCCGCGGUAAUACGGAGGGUGCGAGCGUUAAUCGGAAUUACUGGGCGUAAAGCGCGCGUAGGUGGCUUGAUAAGCCGGUUGUGAAAGCCCCGGGCUCAACCUGGGAACGGCAUCCGGAACUGUCAAGCUAGAGUGCAGGAGAGGAAGGUAGAAUUCCCGGUGUAGCGGUGAAAUGCGUAGAGAUCGGGAGGAAUACCAGUGGCGAAGGCGGCCUUCUGGACUGACACUGACACUGAGGUGCGAAAGCGUGGGUAGCAAACAGGAUUAGAUACCCGGGUAGUC
This 464-nucleotide ribosomal RNA is filed under the name Vreelandella stevensii. RNAcentral's name for it is "partial 16S ribosomal RNA". It matches the Rfam family "Bacterial small subunit ribosomal RNA", at positions 338 to 795 of the family's 1533-position model. The record is from RNAcentral. Lineage: Bacteria; Pseudomonadati; Pseudomonadota; Gammaproteobacteria; Oceanospirillales; Halomonadaceae.